GCUGGGCGUGGUGGUGCAUGCCUGUAAUCCCAGCUACUCAGGAGGCUGAGGCAGGAGAAUUGCUUGAACCAGGGAGGCGGUUAUUGCAGUGAGCCAAGCCAAGAUUGCGCCACUGCACUCCAGCCUGGUGACAGAGCAAGACUCUGUCUCAG
Molecule: non-coding RNA, 152 nt
Organism: Chlorocebus sabaeus (green monkey)
Lineage: Eukaryota; Metazoa; Chordata; Mammalia; Primates; Cercopithecidae
Rfam family: Metazoan signal recognition particle RNA
About the family: The signal recognition particle (SRP) is a universally conserved ribonucleoprotein. It is involved in the co-translational targeting of proteins to membranes.
Source: Rfam